GAUGAACGCUAGCGGCAGGCCUAAUACAUGCAAGUCGAACGGGUGGUCGCAAGACCACUAGUGGCGCACGGGUGCGUAACGCGUAACCAACCUGCCCCGAUCUGGGGGAUAGCCCGCCGAAAGGCGGAUUAAUACCGCAUAUACCCGCAGCCUGGCAUCAGGCAACGGGGAAAGAUUUAUUGGAUCGGGAUGGGGUUGCGUGACAUUAGCUAGUUGGCGGGGUAAGGGCCCACCAAGGCGACGAUGUCUAGGGGACCUGAGAGGGUGAUCCCCCACACUGGCACUGAGAUACGGGCCAGACUCCUACGGGAGGCAGCAGUAGGGAAUAUUGGGCAAUGGGCGAGAGCCUGACCCAGCCAUGCCGCGUGCCGGAUGAAGGCCUUCUGGGUUGUAAACGGCUUUUCUCAGGGAAGAAAAAGACCUUGCGAGGUACACUGACGGUACCUGAGGAGUAAGCACCGGCUAACUCCGUG
Molecule: ribosomal RNA, 473 nt
Filed under: uncultured bacterium
Lineage: Bacteria
Description: partial 16S ribosomal RNA
Rfam family: Bacterial small subunit ribosomal RNA
Source: RNAcentral